GUUUUUGUCGGCGGGAUAGAGCCGGGGACCUUUGGGUCCCGAGCCGAAGAUCUUAACCACUAGACAAAAGAAA
This 73-nucleotide transfer RNA is filed under the name Araneus ventricosus. RNAcentral describes it as "tRNA-Pro". Lineage: Eukaryota; Metazoa; Arthropoda; Arachnida; Araneae; Araneidae. The record is from RNAcentral.